This 253-nucleotide ribosomal RNA is filed under the name uncultured bacterium. RNAcentral describes it as "partial 16S ribosomal RNA". It matches the Rfam family "Bacterial small subunit ribosomal RNA", at positions 524 to 776 of the family's 1533-position model. The record is from RNAcentral.
UACGGAGGGAGCUAGCGUUGUUCGGAAAUACUGGGCGUAAAGCGCACGUAGGCGGCGCAGCAAGUCAGGGGUGAAAUCCCGGGGCUCAACCCCGGAACUGCCCUUGAAACUGCAGUGCUAGAAUUCUGGAGAGGCGAGUGGAAUUCCGAGUGUAGAGGUGAAAUUCGUAGAUAUUCGGAAGAACACCAGUGGCGAAGGCGACUCGCUGGACAGACAUUGACGCUGAGGUGCGAAAGCCAGGGGAGCAAACGGG